Molecule: non-coding RNA, 68 nt
Organism: Podarcis lilfordi (Lilford's wall lizard)
Lineage: Eukaryota; Metazoa; Chordata; Lepidosauria; Squamata; Lacertidae
Source: the annotation of a GenBank genome assembly
GAUAGUUCAGUUGGUUAGAGCAUGGUGCUGAUAAUGCCAAGGUUGCAGGUUCAAUCCCUGUAUGGGCA